CCUACGGGUGGCAGCAGUGGGGAAUAUUGCACAAUGGGGGAAACCCUGAUGCAGCGACGCCGCGUGAGUGAAGAAGGAAUUCGUUAUGUAAAGCUCUAUCAGCAGGGAAGAAAAUGACGGUACCUGAGUAAGAAGCCACGGCUAACUACGUGCCAGCAGCCGCGGUAAUACGUAGGGGGCAAGCGUUAUCCGGAUUUACUGGGUGUAAUGGGAGCGUAGACGGCAGUGCAAGUCUGGAGUGAAAGGCGGGGGCUCAACCCCCGGACUGCUCUGGAAACUGUACGGCUGGAGUGCAGGAGAGGUAAGUGGAAUUCCUAGUGUAGCGGUGAAAUGCGUAGAUAUUAGGAGGAACACCAGUGGCGAAGGCGGCCUGCUGGGCUUUUACUGACGCUGAUGCUCGAAAGUGUGGGGAGCAAACAGGAUUAGAUACCCCUGUAGUC
This 440-nucleotide ribosomal RNA is filed under the name uncultured bacterium. RNAcentral's name for it is "partial 16S ribosomal RNA". It matches the Rfam family "Bacterial small subunit ribosomal RNA", at positions 338 to 795 of the family's 1533-position model. The record is from RNAcentral.